GUAUCUGGUGGUUUAAUUCACCAAAAAAAGUAUAAUUUGUUUGGGAGAUUGGUUUAGUUAGAAGUACUAAAGUGCUUUGUCAGAUAGAUUUAUGUAGAAAUGCUAAAUUGUAAAUUGUUCCAAUUCUAUCUUCUGCUUUUCAAUGUAAUCUCCUCAGGAUCUUGUGGAAUUUUACCACUUGUAGUGUGGGUUGUUGUUACCAGGGCCUGCUUAAUCUUCGUGGAAUGCAUGACACAGAAUCCAAGCCCGUCUUGCUAUGCACAUGCAGUGACAAUUCUGUCCGGCUCUAUGAUUUGCCCUCGUUUUCGGAGAGGGGUAAAAUUUUUGCUAAGCAGGAGAUUCGUGCUAUUGAGGUAGGCCCUGGUGGCCUGUUUUUCACUGGCGAUGGAGCUGGUUAUAGAGUAUGGAAGUGGGCACAGCCAAUUGCCACGUCCUGAUGUGUCGUGUGAUUUCUUAUAACAUAUUCAUCAUUAUGUAUUUUUUAUGUUAAUUAUUUGAUUUUUUUUUUAUCCUUAUGGGAAGGCCUUUUGUAGUUUGUAAGUUUGUGGGAGAAAUUAGGGAUUAGAGAAAACAAUUUUGGGUUGCUGGUGGAAUGUUUUGCAGCACCAAGCCCGUCAGCUUAGUGUGUGCCGUAAUAACUCAUAAAUCGUAGUGGUCUGACGUUGGGAAUUUAGUAUUCAAUGUGCCAAGUUGAAGUGAUAUCUUGAUUUC
Molecule: long non-coding RNA, 711 nt
Organism: Theobroma umbraticum
Lineage: Eukaryota; Viridiplantae; Streptophyta; Magnoliopsida; Malvales; Malvaceae
Source: RefSeq, a predicted model, not a curated record